UAACUCUGUGCUGCAGCCCACUAUCGCCUAACCGUUGCCCUUGCUGUAUUGUUUCUCGCCGGCGACCACCAGAGCCACGCCGUGUGCUUGCGCCUUCCAGCAAGUCAUGCAUGUUUGCCUAUGUGCUUCACUGGCUUGAUCAACACGUCAUCCGCACCUUGGUAUUAGUUCUUCUACAAUAUAUCAUUCUUUAUGCCUCCAUGCACUCAUUCAUGACAUUUAAUAUUCAGUCCAUCAAUCAUGAAUUAGCUUAUAAAAUUUCAUGUGCAGCAACGUAUUAUCUCUCCUUUACUUUGCCCCAUAAAUAAAUUCCUAAAGCUUUAAUCUCACGGUUUCCUUGUUUUAGCUAUAAUUCCAUCUCCUGAUGCUGCGUUAAGAUUGUAUCAACGUAGAUCAUGAGUUAGCCGCAAUAACCUCUCGUAUGUUAAUUUAUUAACUUGACUAGUGUGCAUGUAGCUGGUUUUUUUUUAAUUUUAAAAAGCGACACAAGUGUUACCCUCUAGUAUUUUUAUAAUGCGAUUAAUUAAUUACCUUUCUAUAUAAAAUCUUAGAAAAUUCAUAUCUCCUCCGUUUUAGCUUCGAUUUUCGUGAUCUUUACGUCCGCGAGAUCGUAGCGCUGCGUAGAAUCUUUUUAUGAACUCUCUAUACUGUUUUUAUAUGAUUGGUGUACUGUUCUAAUUGUAGUCUUGUUUGCUUCGUGUAUGUUGUCUCCGAUUGUUUGUGUGUUGAUGAUCAAUGAUCGAGUUUAGUCGGUAAACAAUUCAUGGUGAACAAGAGUACUUCAGUGAUCAAGAUCUGAGCCUUGGACAACUAGUGAGACCAGCAGGAUAAGCAAGAGCAAUUGGAUUAAGGCAAGUAUAGUAUUUGGGUUUUAUUUCUGUGACCAUGAUCCUGUGACUAGAUUAAUGUUAAGUAAUAAAUGAUAAAAAUGACUUUUUAGCCACUUGAUGAUUUGUCUGUACGUGAUCACCCGGGACAACAGUGCAACCAUGAGGGCUAUAAUGGCUCUGGCUUUAGCUCAGUAUGAAGACCUUUUCUAGCUUGUUAGAGGUUACCCGAAAGGGCGGAGGGGCUGAACCGUUUUGGGUAUAGUGUGGCCUCUGUCUGUAUGUGUAUAGGCUGCGCGUCAUUGUGCCAUCGGAAGGGGGGCUCUAUAUCUGCGCGCAAAGGAAACCUUGCGGCCCUAACAUGUUAGACGAACUUUUGAAAGGCUUCAUAGUGAUCCCUGCCGACCUUCCUUGGUAGUGGGUUAAGAGGUCGACGGGCCUCGGGCGAAAGGGUAAAUCAUGACUCAUGGGUAAAGAUGUACAACCUCUGCAGAGUGUUAAAACUAGUAUACUAGCCGAGCUCACGGUCAGGAGCGGCCUUGGGGACAUCUACAUUAAGGGUGAUGAAUCUUGUGUGUUAAAUAUGCUCAUUGUUUAUUGUUUAAUGCUUUACAUUAUUUAUGUCACAUCGAUCAUGAGAUUGUGGGAGCUAUACAAUCUAGUUGCUAUACUUGUGGAGUUCGACAUGGACUCACUCUUGCUAUCUCCCCCACCCUUCAGGAGAAGUUUAGGCUUGCGAUCAACCAGUCAGUUGGAUCCGGUAGAGUGAAGUUAAUACCCGAAGUUUGGAGUUGUUUAUCCGAUGUUUGCUAUCAAAGGUUAUCUCUUUUAUACUAAGUGCGUUAUAUUUUUUUGCAUUGUCUUUUGAUAUUACCCCUUAUUUGUAGCUAUAUGUGAGAUUUAACCUCUAAGACUCACAUAUGGUGCAUAUCUGGUUUUGUCCUUAAAAUCGGGUAUUACAAAGUGGUAUCAGAGCAAUGCUGACUGUAGGACGCAAGCCUAGUUAGAAAUUGGUCGUCUUAAGGUUUUGAAAUUGCUAUAAAAUUCUUGCUCUACAAACCUUGGUAUUUUCGUCUAUACUAUAUCUCUAUCCUUGCUAUUUGUCUCUACCUUGUUGCUUAGUUUAAAAGUACUUGUUCUCAUCUUCACUCCUUGAUUUGAUAUGCUUUUAGAACUUUUUCUUACCACCUUCUGGCAUCGUUGGAAUAGGUGUUUUAAGAUAUCUACCCUUACUAUGAAGAGAACGAUAGUAUCGCAAAUUGAGUGAAGUGUGCUUAGUUGGUUUGUUAUUAUGCUUAUGCUUGAUUUGGAUCUUUGUAAUGAUUGCAAUGAUCUUGUGGGAUUUCUCCACAAUUUCAUUAGUUUAUAGACCUAAGGCAUAAGGAUUAAUGAAAUAAGUAGUUGGGUUUGGCUAUCUCUUGUUCCUAUCCCUUGCUGAUUUCUGGAGCAGUCUGCGAUGAUUCUGGUGUACCUCAAGUUUUGAUCGUGCAAAGUAUAUCAACUUUUUCUGGGAACAACUAGACUUCAAGAUCUUUCUCUGACCGCAAGAAUCACCCCCAUAUCUAUUUUGGAAUUGGAGUUAUGAAAAUCACAAGUUGAUGCAGCUGCGCUGUCAAGAAUCUGUACCAGUUUCGGUUGCUUACUGUUUUAGACAUAUAUAACUAUAGAAUUUGGAAAAGUAUUCUAUAGAAAAUUUGUAGACAAUUUUCUAUUCUUUCCAACGGUAUAAGCUGGAACUUAUUUGGAUAAGUAGAACUUGAGAUUAUGAUACUUAUACUCGGAUGUUUCUGUUCUGCUUCAAAAUCUGGACAGAUCUGGUAUUUCUAAUUUUUCAGCCAAGUUAAAGACAGAAUCUGGGAAAACGUGGUAUACGAAACUUGUAGAGAAUUUCCCAACCUUUUCAAAAAUGUAAGGAUCAUCUCCAGAUGAGUUAAGGAGCUCUAGAUAUAACUUCUGGAAGUUACUGCACCUUUGCUGAGACAUUAUCAGGAAGGAGAUUAUGUUUGGUUGUUUUACCUAAGCUUAAAGACAGAACCUAAGGAGGUCUUCUACAUGAAAGUGGUAGAGAAUUUCAUAAGUUUUCUAACGGUAUAAGCUACAACUCUAUUGGAUUAACAUAAUAAGAGUUAUACUUGUUUUACUACGCUGGUGUUUUCAUAUCACGAGAAGAUUUCAGGAUACCUGUUUGUUCUCUUGCACCUAAGUUCUUUGGGAUGUCAGGAGUUCUCAAUGUUAGUUAACUUGUCUGAAAAACAUGCAAGCUACCUUUCUUGUGCCCUAGUUGACUUUUCAUAAGGGGGGUAGCCUAGUUAAAGAAGUUACAAGGAGAAUGAUUGGUUAAUGUUGGAUCAUAUGUUAGGAUCACAAAUGUUUGGUGAAUUUGGUUUUGUUCCAAGGUAUCAACCCACUUGGAGAAUAUAAUUGGAGGUUUAUGUCAUUACUGAUACUCACAGACUAAGAGUUGCGUAUGAAGAUCAGAUGAUACCAAAUUCUACAAAGCUUUAUGUACAAAGUGAGAGUGAACAACUUAACUGUGAUAAACUGUGAUAAAGGUACUAACAAUUGGAACUUAGUCAUGAAGCCAACCUUGGAUCAAGAGACUCGGUACAACAAAUUUUAAAGACUAUAUGAUGUGUAGCAUUUAAAAAGGUUAUGAGGACUAGUCCCUAAUGUCUCCCCAAUCAAUCUCAUCUUAAGGGGGUAGCCUAGAUAAGAAGGUUGCUAAAUGAAGGUUCCAUGCGUUCUAGUACCUUAGUUGGAAGUAUCUUUUAUGCCUCUGGAUGAGAAGUCAAUAUCAUGUGUAGGUAUUACCCUUGUUUGAGCUAUGAGUAAAAAAAAAACCUUAUCUAUACAAUGUGCACUACUGAACUCUUGGAAACAAUUGAGGGAGAUGUUCGGAGUGACGAAAGCAAUGGAAUGGCUACUAAGGAGCUACUCGAGGAAGUGAAUAAGGUUCAAAAGUGGAGUGUCCAUGUUUCUUUGAUCACCAUCUUUCGAAUCUCGAGGACGAGAUUCAUCUUAAGGGGGGUAGAAUUGUAACACCCUAAAAUUUGCUCCUUUCAAAAUAGAUGAAAAUCGAUUUAGUUUUGUAUUUUUUUUUUGUGCUCAUGAAAAUAUAGGAAAAAAAUAAUAUUUUUCAUUAGAUUAAAGUUUAUCAUAAGGCUUAGCAACAUGGUUGUGUAUACAUGCUGAUGCAUAUGAUUUUGGGUGAUGUCUGCUUAUUGCUCCUUUGUGUGUUGAUAGUAAGAAAAAUAUUUAAAAUACAUUUAGUAGAUCGAUCUUCCUUAUUCGUAUUUAUCUUUUUCUACAAUCAAAUUCCUUGUCUCUUAGCUCAAGAUUUCGGUCAGGGUCUCUCAGAAUCUUUUCUUUCAAACCUAAGUCACUCGUUUGAGUUUCUCGUCCAUUAAGCAAUAUCUACAAACUUCUCGGGUAUUUUUCUAGCCUUUUCUAUGAGCAUAAAUCUAAUUUUAGAUGCCCCAAAUUAUCUCAUCAUAAGCUCCAAAUACUUUAUUUGGAUUCCUCAUGUUCUAUAAUAUCUCUGAGAAUUUUUCCCAAAUUUUCGAAGCUUUCGGAGUAUUUUUCGUGGCUUAACUACUAAUUAUGAACUUUUCUAGAAUUAUUUUAUCCAUGAAAAUAAUUAAUUUCGAAAAUAAUAAUUUCUUCAUUUUACUCAAAUCCAACGUCAUCAUGAUUCAAAGACCAAAUGUUUUAUUUACUAAUGGGCUUUAAUAAUUAAUUAGGCCUAUUAGUAAAGAUGAAGGUUGCAAAUCAAUUAGUACCAUAUCGCUAGUUGACGUGGAGCUGUGGAGUUUCUCUCCCUAUAUAUUUGUACCAACCCUUAGGUUGAGCACACCAAAACUACCAUAUGAGGAGCCUCUAGUUUGGGAAAUCUCUCGUGUAGUAAAUUAAAUUUUUUUCAUCAGUCCUCGACCUCGGCUGCUCAUCUUGUCAAAGUCCAUCCUGUCUUCUUCAGCCAUGCCUAAUCAUCAACGUUACCCAUUCAUAAUUGAUCGUUGGUAAGCAUCUCAUGUUAUCCUUUCUCUCUGUUAAUUGCACCAUGCCCUGCUGUCACCAUUUAAUUUAACUCUGUGCUGCAGCCCACUAUCGCCUAACCGUUGCCCUUGCUGUAUUGUUUCUCGCCGGCGACCACCAGAGCCACGCCGUGUGUUUGCGCCUUCCAGCAAGUCAUGCAUGUUUGCCUAUGUGCUUCACUGGCUUGAUCAACACGUCAUCCGCACCUUGGUAUUAGUUCUUCUACAAUAUAUCAUUCUUUAUGCCUCCAUGCACUCAUUCAUGACAUUUAAUAUUCAGUCCAUCAAUCAUGAAUUAGCUUAUAAAAUUUCAUGUGCAGCAACGUAUUAUCUCUCCUUUACUUUGCCCCAUAAAUAAAUUCCUAAAGCUUUAAUCUCACGGUUUCCUUGUUUUAGCUAUAAUUCCAUCUCCUGAUGCUGCGUUAAGAUUGUAUCAACGUAGAUCAUGAGUUAGCCGCAAUAACCUCUCGUAUGUUAAUUUAUUAACUUGACUAGUGUGCAUGUAGCUGGUUUUUUUUAAUUUUAAAAAGCGACACAAGUGUUACCCUCUAGUAUUUUUAUAAUGCGAUUAAUUAAUUACCUUUCUAUAUAAAAUCUUAGAAAAUUCAUAUCUCCUCCGUUUUAGCUUCGAUUUUCGUGAUCUUUACGUCCGCGAGAUCGUAGCGCUGCGUAGAAUCUUUUUAUGAACUCUCUAUACUGUUUUUAUAUGAUUGGUGUACUGUUCUAAUUGUAGUCUUGUUUGCUUCGUGUAUGUUGUCUCUGAUUGUUUGUGUGUUGAUGAUCAAUGAUCGAGUUUAGUCGGUAAACAAUUCAUGGUGAACAAGAGUACUUCAGUGAUCAAGAUCUGAGCCUUGGACAACUAGUGAGACCAGCAGGAUAAGCAAGAGCAAUUGGAUUAAGGC
This 5760-nucleotide long non-coding RNA is filed under the name Sorghum bicolor (sorghum). RNAcentral describes it as "long non-coding RNA (SBIC_LNC004706)". Lineage: Eukaryota; Viridiplantae; Streptophyta; Magnoliopsida; Poales; Poaceae. The record is from RNAcentral.